AUACCGCAUACGUCCUACGGGAGAAAGGGGGCUCCGGCUCCCGCUAUGGGAUGAGCCUAUGUCGGAUUAGCUAGUUGGUGAGGUAACGGCUCACCAAGGCCACGAUCCGUAGCUGGUCUGAGAGGAUGAUCAGCCACAUCGGGACUGAGACACGGCCCGAACUCCUACGGGAGGCAGCAGUGGGGAAUAUUGGACAAUGGGCGCAAGCCUGAUCCAGCCAUGCCGCGUGUGUGAAGAAGGCCCUCGGGUUGUAAAGCACUUUCAGCGAGGAAGAACGCCUAGCGGUUAAUACCCGCUAGGAAAGACAUCACUCGCAGAAGAAGCACCGGCUAACUCCGUGCCAGCAGCCGCGGUAAUACGGAGGGUGCAAGCGUUAAUCGGAAUUACUGGGCGUAAAGCGCGCGUAGGUGGCUUGAUAAGCCGGUUGUGAAAGCCCCGGGCUCAACCUGGGAACGGCAUCCGGAACUGUCAAGCUAGAGUGCAGGAGAGGAAGGUAGAAUUCCCGGUGUAGCGGUGAAAUGCGUAGAGAUCGGGAGGAAUACCAGUGGCGAAGGCGGCCUUCUGGACUGACACUGACACUGAGGUGCGAAAGCGUGGGUAGCAAACAGGAUUAGAUACCCUGGUAGUCCACGCCGUAAACGAUGUCGACCAGCCGUUGGGUGCCUAGCGCACUUUGUGGCGAAGUUAACGCGAUAAGUCGACCGCCUGGGGAGUACGGCCGCAAGGUUAAAACUCAAAUGAAUUGACGGGGGCCCGCACAAGCGGUGGAGCAUGUGGUUUAAUUCGAUGCAACGCGAAGAACCUUACCUACUCUUGGCAUCCUGCGAAUUUGGUAGAGAUACCUUAGUGCCUUCGGGAACGCAGAGACAGGUGCUGCAUGGCUGUCGUCAGCUCGUGUUGUGAAAUGUUGGGUUAAGUCCCGUAACGAGCGCAACCCUUGUCCUUAUUUGCCAGCGCGUAAUGGCGGGAACUCUAAGGAGACUGCCGGUGACAAACCGGAGGAAGGUGGGGACGACGUCAAGUCAUCAUGGCCCUUACGAGUAGGGCUACACACGUGCUACAAUGGUCGGUACAAAGGGUUGCCAACUCGCGAGAGUGAGCCAAUCCCGAAAAGCCGAUCUCAGUCCGGAUCGGAGUCUGCAACUCGACUCCGUGAAGUCGGAAUCGCUAGUAAUCGUGGAUCAGAAUGCCACGGUGAAUACGUUCCCGGGCCUUGUACACACCGCCC
This 1228-nucleotide ribosomal RNA is filed under the name uncultured Halomonas sp. RNAcentral describes it as "bacterial SSU rRNA". It matches the Rfam family "Bacterial small subunit ribosomal RNA", at positions 166 to 1395 of the family's 1533-position model. The record is from RNAcentral. Lineage: Bacteria; Pseudomonadati; Pseudomonadota; Gammaproteobacteria; Oceanospirillales; Halomonadaceae.